RNAcentral lists this transfer RNA (75 nucleotides) under Sphaerodactylus townsendi. Its description in RNAcentral is "tRNA-Pro". The record is from RNAcentral. Lineage: Eukaryota; Metazoa; Chordata; Lepidosauria; Squamata; Sphaerodactylidae.
GGAGGGACUGUGGCUCAGUGGAAAAGCAUCUGUUUCGGAUGAAGAAGGCCCCUGGUUCAAUCCCCAGCAUCUCCA